This 65-nucleotide transfer RNA is filed under the name Hediste japonica. RNAcentral's name for it is "tRNA-Val". Lineage: Eukaryota; Metazoa; Annelida; Polychaeta; Phyllodocida; Nereididae. The record is from RNAcentral.
CAAGAUAGAGCAUGAUAUAUGCAAUUCACUUACAAUGGAUAUAAAGAGUGUUGCUCUUAUCUUGA